Molecule: ribosomal RNA, 446 nt
Filed under: uncultured bacterium
Lineage: Bacteria
Description: SSU rRNA
Rfam family: Bacterial small subunit ribosomal RNA
Source: RNAcentral
AGAACGAACGCUGGCGGCAUGCCUAACACAUGCAAGUCGAACGAGACCUUCGGGUCUAGUGGCGCACGGGUGCGUAACGCGUGGGAAUCUGCCCUUGGGUCCGGGAUAACAGUUGGAAACGACUGCUAAUACCGGAUGAUGACUUCGGUCCAAAGAUUUAUCGCCCAGGGAUGAGCCCGCGUCGGAUUAGCUAGUUGGUGGGGUAAAGGCCUACCAAGGCAACGAUCCGUAGCUGGUCUGAGAGGAUGAUCAGCCACACUGGGACUGAGACACGGCCCAGACUCCUACGGGAGGCAGCAGUGGGGAAUAUUGGACAAUGGGCGAAAGCCUGAUCCAGCAAUGCCGCGUGAGUGAUGAAGGCCUUAGGGUUGUAAAGCUCUUUUACCCGGGAUGAUAAUGACAGUACCGGGAGAAUAAGCCCCGGCUAACUCCGUGCCAGCAGCCGC